This 376-nucleotide ribosomal RNA is filed under the name uncultured organism. RNAcentral's name for it is "partial 16S ribosomal RNA". It matches the Rfam family "Bacterial small subunit ribosomal RNA", at positions 527 to 897 of the family's 1533-position model. The record is from RNAcentral.
GUAGGUGGCAAGCGUUGUCCGGGAAUUAUUGGGGCGUAAAGCGCGCGCAGGCGGUUCUUUAAGUCUGAUGUGAAAGCCCACGGGCUCAACCGUGGAGGGUCAUUGGAAACUGGAGAACUUGAGUACAGAAGAGGAAAGCGAAAUUCCACGUGUAGCGGUGAAAUGCGUAGAGAUGUGGAGGAACACCAGUGGCGAAGGCGGCUUUCUGGUCUGUAACUGACGCUGAGGCGCGAAAGCGUGGGGAGCAAACAGGAUUAGAUACCCUGGUAGUCCACGCCGUAAACGAUGAGUGCUAAGUGUUAGGGGGUUUCCGCCCCUUAGUGCUGCAGCUAACGCAUUAAGCACUCCGCCUGGGGAGUACGGCCGCAAAGGCUGA